UUGUCUCAGUUCGGAUUGUAGGCUGAAACUCGCCUACAUGAAGCUGGAGUUGCUAGUAAUCGCGAAUCAGCAUGUCGCGGUGAAUACGUCCCCGGGCCUUGUACACACCGCCCGUCACACCAUGAGAGUUGGCAAUACCCAACGUACGUGAUCUAACCCGCAAGGGAGGAAGCGUCCUAAGGUAGGGUCAGCGAUUGGGGUGAAGUCGUAACAAGGUACC
RNAcentral lists this ribosomal RNA (220 nucleotides) under uncultured bacterium. Its description in RNAcentral is "partial 16S ribosomal RNA". It matches the Rfam family "Bacterial small subunit ribosomal RNA", at positions 1283 to 1500 of the family's 1533-position model. The record is from RNAcentral.